RNAcentral lists this ribosomal RNA (480 nucleotides) under uncultured bacterium. RNAcentral describes it as "partial 16S ribosomal RNA". It matches the Rfam family "Bacterial small subunit ribosomal RNA", at positions 28 to 507 of the family's 1533-position model. The record is from RNAcentral.
GACGAACGCUGGCGGCGCGCCUAACACAUGCCAGUCGAGCGAUGAAAUUUUAACCGCUCUCUUCGGAGCGAAGAUAAAAUGGAUUAGCGGCGGACGGGUGAGUAACACGUGAGAAACCAGCCUUUCACAAGGGGAUAGCCUCGGGAAACCGGGAUUAAUACCAUAUGACACAUUUCCUUCGCAUGGAAGAAGUGUUAAAAGUCCGGGGGUGAAAGAUGGUCUCGCGCCUGAUUGGCGAGUGGGGGGGGUCACGGCCCACCAAGGGCAGGAGGCGGAACCGGCCAGUGGGGCUGAGCGGCGACUCUGGAACUGAGGCACGGUCCAAACGCCUACGGGAGGAAGCAGUGGGGAAUAUUGCAGCAGGGAGGAAACUCGGAUGAUGCGGCGCCGCGGGAGGUAUGCAGGCUUUGGAGGCGAAAAGCCCUGUUGUAUGGGAAGGUAAUGACGGUACCAGAGGAGGAAGCCCCGGCUAACUACGUG